UGCGUAGGCGGCUUUUUAAGUCGGAUGUGAAAUCCCCGAGCUUAACUUGGGAAUUGCAUUCGAUACUGGGAAGCUAGAGUAUGGGAGAGGAUGGUAGAAUUCCAGGUGUAGCGGUGAAAUGCGUAGAGAUCUGGAGGAAUACCGAUGGCGAAGGCAGCCAUCUGGCCUAAUACUGACGCUCAGGUGCGAAAGCGUGGGGAGCACACAGGAUUAGAUAUCCUGGUA
This 225-nucleotide ribosomal RNA is filed under the name uncultured Acinetobacter sp. RNAcentral's name for it is "partial 16S ribosomal RNA". It matches the Rfam family "Bacterial small subunit ribosomal RNA", at positions 568 to 792 of the family's 1533-position model. The record is from RNAcentral. Lineage: Bacteria; Pseudomonadati; Pseudomonadota; Gammaproteobacteria; Moraxellales; Moraxellaceae.